GUUUUUAAGGAAACACAACAAAGGGUGUCUUUAACCACUAAUACUUGGACUUCCAUACAAAGAAUCAAUUAUACGGUCAUUACUGCUCAUUGGAUUGAUAAAAAUUGGACUUUGCAUAAAAGAAUUAUCAACUUUUGUUCAAUCACUAGUCAUAGAGGUGAAGAUCUUGGAAAGUCUAUUAGUAAGUGCUUACAUGAGUGGGGAUUGCAUCGAAUUUUCACUGUAACGGUUGAUAAUGCUGGUUCAAAUAGUGUGGCAAUAACUGAGUUGUCUAAGCAAUUAACUAAAUGGGGAACCAACUUAAU
Molecule: unclassified non-coding RNA, 305 nt
Filed under: Hevea brasiliensis (rubber tree)
Lineage: Eukaryota; Viridiplantae; Streptophyta; Magnoliopsida; Malpighiales; Euphorbiaceae
Source: RNAcentral